AGUGAACGCUGGCGGUAGGCCUAACACAUGCAAGUCGAGCGGCAGCACAGUAAGAGCUUGCUCUUACGGGUGGCGAGUGGCGGACGGGUGAGGAAUACAUCGGAAUCUACUUUUUCGUGGGGGAUAACGUAGGGAAACUUACGCUAAUACCGCAUACGACCUACGGGUGAAAGCAGGGGAUCUUCGGACCUUGCGCGAUUGAAUGAGCCGAUGUCGGAUUAGCUAGUUGGCGGGGUAAAGGCCCACCAAGGCGACGAUCCGUAGCUGGUCUGAGAGGAUGAUCGGCCACACUGGAACUGAGACACGGUCCAGACUCCUAAGGGAGGCAGCAGUGGGGAAUAUUGGACAGUGGGCGCAAGCCUGAUCCAGCCAUACCGCGUGGGUGAAGAAGGCCUUCGGGUUGUAAAGCCCUUUUGUUGGGAAAGAAAAGCAGCAGGUUAAUACCCCGCUGUUCUGACGGUACCCAAAGAAUAAGCACCGGCUAACUUCGUG
RNAcentral lists this ribosomal RNA (492 nucleotides) under uncultured bacterium. Its description in RNAcentral is "partial 16S ribosomal RNA". It matches the Rfam family "Bacterial small subunit ribosomal RNA", at positions 29 to 507 of the family's 1533-position model. The record is from RNAcentral.